This is a long non-coding RNA of Quercus robur (English oak), 742 nucleotides long. RefSeq lists it as uncharacterized. The record is from RefSeq and is a predicted model, not a curated record. The transcript has 4 exons. NCBI's taxonomy places the organism in Eukaryota, Viridiplantae, Streptophyta, Magnoliopsida, Fagales, Fagaceae.
UCGACAAAUAAGGACAACAUAAAUAAGUCUAAAAUUUUCUCCACUACAGGUUCUGUACCAAUAGCCAAGUACAGAUAUGAAAUGUAUCUAGAGACGGGCUCUGAGCCUAGCCCCAUUGAUUGCUUUAAGAAAUUUCACACAAAGAAGGAUGGCAAAGAAUGGGCAACUGAUCAUGCUAAGACAUUAUAUGAAAAAAUGGAUGCGAUAAAGGCCAAAGCUAUUUCUAAAGGUACUAAGACAAAUGAUUAUCAGAUCUUUUGUGAAGUGGUUGGUGAACCAAGUCAUGGUCGUAUUCUUGGCAUGUGAAUAGGUAUUAAGGCUAAGGAUGUGUACGGCUUAACUUCAUCUGGUAAAGGUUGUAGCAAACAUUGCAGAGAAGAUUUUACAAAAGGAAAAAAAGAUUUGGAGGCACGUCUUUAGAUAGGAAAUGGAUUCCAAACUUGCAAAAGUUGUGGAGAAGCUUGAGGAGAAGUUUGCACAAAAGUUGCAGUUGAUGGGCAUACCACAACAAUCUGACAUAGAUCUAGCUACCAUGGAUGGUACUAGCAGAGAUGAAGAGGACAACUCAAACAAUAACAUAGAGGUUGAAAACAACUUGGAGAGUGACUCAAAGGAAGACUAAUAUAGAUCUUGUCAUAAAAUAGUUGUUUAAGUUUAAAACAAGGUUUAAUUUCAGGAUUUCUUUGUAUAUUUUAUAUUUUAAAGUUUGAACUUAUAUGAAUUUUUAUCUUUCGAUGGAUCA